This 100-nucleotide transfer RNA is filed under the name Catellatospora coxensis. RNAcentral's name for it is "tRNA-Asp". The record is from RNAcentral. Lineage: Bacteria; Bacillati; Actinomycetota; Actinomycetes; Micromonosporales; Micromonosporaceae.
GCUGCUCCAGCGGGUUGGACCCGGCGAUGCCGCUGCCGUCGACGGCGGGGUGGCUGAUGCCGUCGCGGUAGCCGAACGGUUCGGUCUCGGUGGGCAGGGC